CCGCCUGUGCGCGGCUGCCAGCGGUAGAUCUAGCCUGCGCACGGCCACUGCCGCCACGGCGCUGCCGCCGCGGGGCAUACUGCUCAUGCGCGGCCACUGCCGCUGCGGCGGUUCCUACCCGCGGGUGGCUGCUGCCAGCACGCGGCCGCCGCCUGUGCACGGCCAACUCACGCAUGGCCGCCUCCUGGGCUGUCUGCCUGCGUGCGGCCGACCGUCGCAUGGACGGAUUCUGGCCGU
This 237-nucleotide long non-coding RNA is filed under the name Musa acuminata (dwarf banana). RNAcentral describes it as "long non-coding RNA (MACU_LNC000400)". Lineage: Eukaryota; Viridiplantae; Streptophyta; Magnoliopsida; Zingiberales; Musaceae. The record is from RNAcentral.